Molecule: small RNA, 32 nt
Filed under: Arabidopsis thaliana (thale cress)
Lineage: Eukaryota; Viridiplantae; Streptophyta; Magnoliopsida; Brassicales; Brassicaceae
Description: ATSL247640
Source: RNAcentral
GGAGUUGUUCGUAUCGUCUUCUACCUUAUAAA